RNAcentral lists this ribosomal RNA (139 nucleotides) under Streptococcus agalactiae GB00986. Its description in RNAcentral is "partial 23S ribosomal RNA". It matches the Rfam family "Bacterial large subunit ribosomal RNA", at positions 2790 to 2925 of the family's 2925-position model. Lineage: Bacteria; Bacillati; Bacillota; Bacilli; Lactobacillales; Streptococcaceae. The record is from RNAcentral.
AAGCCCACCUCAAGAUGAGAUUUCCCAUGAUUUUAUAUCAAUAAGAGCCCUGAGAGAUGAUCAGGUAGAUAGGUUAGGAGUUUAAUUGUGGUGACACAUUUAGCGGACUAAUACUAAUAGCUCGAGGACUUAUCCAAAA